This 669-nucleotide ribosomal RNA is filed under the name uncultured bacterium. RNAcentral's name for it is "bacterial SSU rRNA". It matches the Rfam family "Bacterial small subunit ribosomal RNA", at positions 97 to 773 of the family's 1533-position model. The record is from RNAcentral.
GGCAAACUGGUGAGUAACAGGUGAGUAAUUUACCUUUAUAUCGGGGAUAGCCUUGCGAAAGCGAGGGUAAUACCUGAUGUGUCCCCUACCACAAAAGUGGUGGGGGGUAAAGGCAUCCGCAAGGAUGCUGUAUAGAGAUGAACUCGUUUCCUAUCAGCUAGUUGGUAGGGUAAUGGCCUACCAAGGCAUUGACGGGUAGCUGGUCUGAGAGGACGGUCAGCCACAUGGGGACUGAGACACUGCCCCGACUCCUACGGGAGGCUGCAGUCGAGGAUAUUUAGCAAUGGGCGAAAGCCUGACUAUGCGACGCCGCGUGAGGGAUGAAGGUCUUCGGAUUGUAAACCUCUUUCGAUGGGGAAGAAUUCAGACGGUACCUAGAGAAGAAGCCACGGCUAACUCCGUGCCAGCAGCCGCGGUAAUACGGAGGUGGCAAGCGUUACUCGGAUUUACUGGGUGUAAAGGGCAGGUAGGCGUCUCGAUAAGUUCUUGGUGAAAUCCUUCUGCUUAACAGAAGAACUGCCGAGAAAACUAUCGAGAUUGAGACUAGAAGAGGAGAGUGGAAUUCCCGGUGUAAGGGUGAAAUCUGUAGAUAUCGGGAGGAACACCAGAAGCGAAGGCGGCUCUCUGGGCUAGGCCUGACGCUGAACUGCGAAAGCUAGGGGAGCAAAC